Bos indicus x Bos taurus (hybrid cattle) is the source of this 1317-nucleotide long non-coding RNA. Lineage: Eukaryota; Metazoa; Chordata; Mammalia; Artiodactyla; Bovidae. The record is from Ensembl.
CCGUCCGCCCAUCCCCAGCCCAGCAGCCAGAUGGGACUCCGCUCCACUCUGACUGGAUUGUAGUCCGGCGACAGAGCUCCGCUGCUAAUCUGUGCGGUCCCUCACCUUCUGGGCGAAAACCAGUGUCCAGUCGUCAGAGCAUUGACACUCAGCGUCACCCACUGUCCCCCGAAAGGGAGGGGUCUUUUCCCGCCACCGCAGUUUCUCUUUCUCUACAGGUGGAAGAAGCGACGGGUCCUAAGCCCUCUAGCCUCUCAGAACGCCGUUCCCUUGGCAACCAAAAGCGGACGCUUCCAGUCUCGCGAUAGGAGAAAAGGACAGUACCAUCUAGAAACAAGACAUGGGAGCCCAAGAACGGCUGGGGCACAACCUGACGAAACCCUGAGACCUGAGGAACCUCUACUGUCUCCUCUGUCUUUUGGGUGGACGGCGGAGGCACAUGAAGACUAUUUCCCUGGGUCCUCAAAUUGACUUUUCUUCAUCCUCAGUGCCAUCAAAUAUCUGCUUCUUCCAAUAUAAGCAGCAUUUUACAGUUUACAAGACAUUUUCAAUACAUGGACCUUUUAGCCUCAUUGUUAGGUGGUGAGGUAUGUAUUCUGUAAGUAUUUUUCAGAAGAUCAAAUAGAUAAAAGUGAUGUGUGCAGAACUAGGGCAGUGGUGGGUGUAAAAACCUGACUGUAAAUGUCAUCCAUAUACUUCUACAUUCUGCAUUUCUAUCUCCAGCUCUGAAAUCCACAUGCUUAUCUGACUAAAUGACGUCGAUGUAAGAAGGACCUCAAACUUAAGAUGUCAAAAAACUGAACUUCUCCACAGUCCCUCCUCCACCUCACCUUCUUACCUAUCUUACCUAAUCAAUAACUGCAUCCUGCCAGUCUCAGGCCCUCCUUGGGGCCUGAGAUAAUAAUUGCUUCCUCAAGGUCCUCCUUGUUAGUGUUUCUACUCAAGAAUUUCUUCCCAGCAUUUCUCAGAAUCUUUAUAUGUUUUUCCAAAUUAAAAGAAAGUCAGUUGAGAAAUCAGGAAAAUUGGACAGAGAGUUCUAAUUCUCCUGCAAGAAUUAAACCUUAGCAAUCAACAUAGAGAUCGACUGAUGUCAAGAUAAAUCAAAAGCAAGGGCAGGAAACACUGUGAGUCAGAAGCUGAGAUAAACAUUUCAGGAACCAGGACAGGAGCACCUAGGAAGGACGCGAUCACAACUCAACCAGUCAAUUUUGCUUGCAAUUAGUGUGGUAAGUGUGUGUUUCUGCACAUUAACUGUCUUCUAAUAGUCAUUCUUGCAAGUAAAAUAAAUGUUAAUAAGUUGAUACUUAUUGUAUACUU